UGUUAGCUCAGGUGCCAAACUUUAAAAAAAAAGUCAUGACAAUACUAUUUUAACAAAAAAUUAUGAUUUAAAAACUGAGGAGCUGAGGGUAUAAGAGAGCUAAAUCUUUGUCUUGAUGGUAGGAAAUCAGUGGAUGGUAUUAAAAAUUGAAAUAAUCAAGAAAGAGAAACACGGAGUUAAAUAUUAGAAGACACAGUUAAGAGAAACAAAAGUGAUAGCUGCUGAGGGAAUGAAGAUUAAAGUUGAGAGGGGCUGGGAAGGGCCAAUUUUUGGACCCAGCAUUAUAGAAUACUCUACUUUCUUGAGCUAUGUACACGUAUGACUUUGAUAAAAAUUAAAAUUAAAUGCCACUUUAAAAAAUGGCUUAUUAGAUUUUCAAGAUUCCUCCCCACUCUCACAUUCUCCCCAUUCUACUUUCUUUACUCUAAUAUGCUUCUCACAUCCCCUGGUCUUCUCUUUUCUUCUUUUCUCUGACUCCUCUUCCAAUUUAGAUAUUGUAGAAAUGCAGAAGGCACUGUUUUUACUUUGCAAAUGAUAAGAAGUGUGGACUAACUACAUAGUCCAUUAGCUGCAGGCAGUACCAAGGGUGGGGCCGUUGGAGGCCUCCACGGUGGGCAGAGAAGGAGGUCAUUGACUGUAGACAAUUUGAAAUCCAUAGCCCAUGAAAAGUUGUCUGCUUGUUAAUAUCAUCAUGCGCCGCCAAUUCUGAACAACAUCAAUGAUAAAAUACUCCCCGAAAAUAAGAUUUUGUUGGUCUAAAUUCUAAAAAUGCGGCGGUUACUGUUGAGUUUUAAUACGUAUGCAAGCAUAACUCCAACUGAUAAAUCACACUGUGGACAGAGCUCCAGCCUCGAAAUUCGAUUACUUUAAGAAAUUCCAAAAAUGGUCGGGGGCUGAGGACACGCGCCCUCCCCAGGCGGGGCGGAUCUGGGGCGCGCAGCCGGGGGACCCGCGGUGGCCCGGGCCGCGCCUCUUUCCCCGUCCCCGAGUCCGCCGCUGCCGCCCAGAAUCGGGACUGCGGGGGCAGGGAGCCCGGCCGAGCGGAGCUGCCCUCCAAUGCCCGCUCCUGCCCGCCGGCCCGGGUGCUCACGCUUGGGGACGCGAUGCGGCCUGGGCGGCGCGAGGAGAGAGGCGCGCGGUGAGCUGCAGGCCCGGCCGCCUCCGCGGACCGGGCCUCCGAGACCCAACGCCAAACAGGGCACAAAUCGAAACCAAAUGGCCCGCUCGGGUGAUGGAGCUGGCUCCGGAGAGAAAUGGAAACCCGCCUACCCGCCCCUGCCACCUCCGGCACCCGGUGGCAGCUUUAGGGGGCUGGAUCUCCGGUCGGGAGGAGGGACAAAGCGGGAGGGCGGGCUAGGGUGGAGAGCAGCGCUUGGUGGCCCCGGCCUCGCCACAGCACCCCUUCUACCCUGCUCGUCCUUCUGCACCUCCUCUCUCCCUGCUUGUGCUUGGAGCGAAGCAGGAGUGUUUACUCUUGCCCUUGCCUUGACUCCCUUUUCUUGCCCAGGAUGUGAGCCUGGAGAGAAGUGUGUCUCUGAAGCUAAAGGGUUUUGCAAAGGGGGUUAUGAUCCAUUUAGAGUUGGCCUUCUUUCUCAGAGACACAAAUGCCCCUGUCCCAAAGUUCUUGGAGAAAUUUGUUUUAAACUGGGGCAGAGGAUCCCCAAGCUCUCUGUUGUAUGGAGGAGAAAGGUGUUAAAAAAAUUAAAAAAAGACCCACUAGGGAUGUCAAAUGGAUACAUCACUGAUUGAUUUCAAAUUAGAUUUCCAGGAUAACACAUCCAAGCAUUUGAUGAUUUUGUUUCAAUGGCACCCGGUGUAACCAUUCAAAUGCCUAAUAAAUAUUGUUUGAUUUGUUGGACUUUUGUUGGGCCCAAGCUUCAGCUAUCCCCACUCCCACCUGCAUAGUCCAGGUGUAGUAGGGCCCAGGAUGUGGCUGACAGCCCAGGAAGCAUUACUCCACCUCCAUGCUGUGGAAUUAAUUUGAAUCCUGAAAUAAUGGAUUGGAUAUUACUGGAGGGAGUAAAGUUGUGGAGAGAAAUUCAGCAGCACCUCACCAUGCCAUGAGCAAACAUUAUCAAUCCGGCCAGGCAGCCAUGCUGGGAUCAGAAACAGAAAAAUGUUUAUUUUAUGAAUGUUAUAAGCACUGAGCUGAUUCUCAGGUAAACAGAGAUCUGAUCUGAGAAAGCACAGCGAAAACACUCCUGUUAACAAAAUUAGUCAUCCCCUGAAAUGGAAAAGUUUUUCUACGUAUUGGUCGUUAUAGUGCAAGGCCAAAGGCUAUGGAUUUCAAGGAAAUGCUAACCACAUCCAGUGGUCUUUUUUGACCUGCCUUUCACAUUCUCUGUCCCCAUCUAACCUUCACAUCUUCAUCCCUGGUGAGUUCAAGGCACUUUCAGCUGGAGUAUGAUGGCUGAACAUCCUCAGGCCAAGAAGGCAAAGGGAGAGAAGCCUCUGGAGGUUUGGAAGGACAGACUCGCCGGAAGUCAGAGCCAGAGGAGGGUUUAGAGAGGAAUCUUGACCCCCCUCUUCCUCCUUCGCAGCACAGGGAGUGAGAGGAGAUGCUGUUUGACCCCUGUUGCCUCAGAGGAGGCCAAACUGCACUGAUUUCCACUUAAGCAUGUCAAGGAGGUGAACACUCAGGGAGGUGCCUUACCCUGUGUAUUAAACUAAAAGCCUGGGGAUGUGGAAGGAGGAAUUUCUGAGGUUUAUAGUGGAAAGUAAGGAGUGGUUGGGGGAGGGAGAGUAAAGUGGGUGAAACAAUAUAGUCUGGCUCCUGGAAACUACCAGAUGACCUUAGAGUUACUUCAGGCAAGCAGUGUUCUAGUGUGAUCUGACCACCUCUCUGGGGGCUGGGUCGCAGGGACUAGCAGGCGCUGAUUGUCAGUUCAAGAGAGUUAGUGUGGCUCUUUCUCUGGAGACUCUGGGAAGCUGGGAAAGAGGGUUCCAGGUGGCUUAGUGGCUCAGAUACCUUAAGGUGGGCCCUUAGAGACCCUCUAGUCCUAAUGCAUGUUUUAACAGAUAAGGAAACCAAAUCCUUGGAGGCAGAAGUGAGUUGCUUGUUAAAGGAUAAUUUUCAAAAAGGUGAAAUGGUGUCUCUCAUACAGAUGCUAAAUGAAAAUAUUUCAUAGAUUUUAUUGAGCUUAUUCAUUAAUGAGGAAAGCAGUAAGAUUUAAAACCAGCCCAAAGAGCAUUUGAGAAGCUAGGUAUGUAUAAACAAUUUAAUGGCUUGAUGGGUUAUAAGCUAUACAAAAACUAGUUUAUGUUUAUCAGGAUCAUAAACUAUAAACUUUGAGGCUAUUGGUUCCACUGGGAAGAAAUUAUUUGCAUCUCUACUGAGCAAAAUUUUCCAAAUGAGCUUUUGCCUUAUAGUGAACUAGAAUGGUCCUGUAAACAGAAAGUCAAGUCUGGUACUGAAAGAAUAUCCAAAAAUCUCUUUUACCUAUUUCCAAGUUUCAGAUGAUCUUUGGACUUUGUAACCAGUCCAAGAUCACACUGUUAGCUGCUAGCAGACAUAGGAUGAUAGUUGAAGUCUCAUUAUGCCCAACUCGAUAUUUUUGUCUUUGCCACAGAAUCCAGAAAGACAAAGAUGUGCAAGAGCCAAAUUGUCGAUCAGAGAAAGGACUGCUUAGAGAAGUGGUGUAUUCCCUACUCCCAAUCUGCCAGCCCAUCCACCCCCUUAAGGGGCUGCUUAUGCAAACAUUGACCUGUGAGGAAGCUCAAACUGGGUCUUUGUUCCCACAUUCCCCAAACCCAAGGCAUGGUCUCAAUACCCUCCUUCUUCCCUCCAGCAGGGUUCCUUAAGCGUCUCAUCCCCACCCACCCACCCACACUCAAUCCUCCUACUGGACUAUCUCUAGCUCCUUUUCUGCAUAUUCUCUGGUGGAACCUUCAUUAGAAUUGUGCUAGAUGACAGAGGCUAGAUGACACCUUGGCUGAGGUAACUAAAGAGAUUUAAAUACUGAAUGUGCUCAGUUGGCAUAGGUAUCCAAUAAGGUCCUUCCAGUUCUUAAAUGCAAGGAUUCUAUAAUAGUUUAUCCCCCAAAAUGGGAGUGAGAAUUUGCAUAUAGGACCUGGAAAGCCUCAGGUGGCUUUGCAAAGCUGGCAUUGAUUUUUCAGCUUUAGGAAAACUCUAACUUCCUGGCUUUUCAUGAGAGUGACUACAAUUGGCCCUCGGUAUUCGUGGGUUCUGCAUCUGUGGAUUCAACUAACCCCAAAUCGAAAGGCCUACAAUGGCUCUGUCUGUACUGAAGAUGUACAAACGUUUUUUUCUUGUCAUUAUUCCCUAAACAACACAGGAUAACAACUAUUUACAUAGCAUUUACAUUGCGUUAGGUAUUAUAAGUAAUCUAGAGAUGAUCUAAAGUACAUGGGAGGAUGUGCAUAGGUUAUAUGCAAAUGCUAUGCCAUUUUCUGUGAAAGACUGGAGCAUCCACAGAUUUGGUGUCUGUGGGGGUGCUGGAACCAAUCUCCCAUGGAUACCGAGGGACAACUGUACUAAUGUUCUUCCUUCUGAGAGGUCUCUGAGGAUGACUGAGUUACUAUUUGCCAAGAGAUUUGAGAACCUAAGGCAAGUGACACUGAGCUGCUCACCAACUAUGACAAGGUAUCUGCAUAAACACCCAUCCUUCUGUUCUUGCCAGAUCUUUGUGGGUGGCAGAGUUUGGAAUAAUUUCAUUACCAAAGUCCAUCAGACUUGCCAGUGUCUCUCUAAGACUGCCUUUUUCAUAAUCAUUGUGUUUGUUUAUCUGAAAUGGAAUUCAUAUAGAUAAGGAGUGGGGAUAGUGCAAGGGUAGCUAUUAACCAUUCAAAAGACAACACAAUGGGAAUGAAUCAUCUACCCCCACGCCCUGAUUCUGAGGCUUGUUUUUGCAUUGUUUUUAUCCUCUAAAUAAAAAGAAGGGGAAAAUUCUAAGAAAGAUAAACUCCUUAUGGCUAGUAAAGUUGAGAACCAUCAUGAUAGAAUGUUUAGACCACAAGUCUGGGAUGGAAGUGGGAACAAUUCAGAAAUGCUGUGCCAAAUUCUCGUUUUGUUCUUUGGCUUGCAGUAUGUUAGGACCAAGGGUAUUUGAAAGAUCAGCAUUUUAUAGGCUGAGAAAUGAAGACCUAGAGAAGGAAUAUGAUGAAUACAUGAAAAGCAAUAAGAAAAGUGUGUGUGUGCAUGUAUAUACAUACAUACAUAUGUAUAUAUGUUGAGGUAUAUGAGGAAGCCAUUUGGUUUAAAACUAAUUUGGCCUGACCUGUUUUUAUCCAGAAAGGCCUAAUGUGGCCUGCCAAGCAUGCCUUGUGUCUCUGCUUUAAACAUUUACAAAGCAAAGAAUGAUGCCUUUAAAGAUACGGAUGAGUGCCUCCCCCCAUAUAAGCGUUUCUUUAAAGAUACGCGUUUCUUCCCAGAAACUAAUGGUCAAACUGACCCAUUGUGCAGAUGUUGUGACCACUGAUCUGCUGUGUUAGCAAAACAUCUUGUGACUGUAGUAAAAAGAGAGAUUCCUAUCAUGUUUGAUGUAUGUUCUUGUUCCAACACGUUAUAUAACCACACUGUACACCUUGCUUCUUCAGAAUGACUCCUUCCUUGGUGAAGGUGCUCUCUCGUGCUAUAUAGUCCUCAGACUGACUCAUAUAAUAAAUGCAUCCUAAUUUUGAUUUAUAGAUUGAUUAUUAACUAUUUGCGUUGAUGUUUCUGGCGUAGUCACAGCAGGAUUUCACAGUAACCCAAUGGAGACCACCUCGAAUCUACAUUGAACCAGCGUUCAGUACCAAUGAACACCCCCCAACCCCAGCACAGCUUCUCUGCAUUCUUCAAGCACCCCAGCUCAAGAAAUUGCCAUGGAAGAAGAGGAACAAAUGUGACAACAAAAAGGGGAAAUUUUUGAUACCACCAUGCAGAUGUGGCUCAGGCCCGAUAAAAAUAGUGCCUAUUGGAUGACAAUUGCUACUGCUCCCGCAUAUUCAUCAAUUAACCCAUUGGGAACCUGAAAUGAGGAUUUUAUAGGGAAAACAAUACUUUCAGAAACUUUCUCCCACAGUAGCUCAUAAAGCCUAUGCUCAUUGUGCUAUACGCCCAAAGGAUAAUCCAGGAAAACCACUCAUGGGUCACAAGGCCACUUUCCCCUUCCCAAGGGACCCUUUGAGGUAUGGCAGUCGGACUUUGUUCAAAUGCCACCCUCUCAAGGGUAUAAGUAUAUCUUAGUAGUGAUCUGUAUGUUCUUGCGUUGGGUUGGGGCCUUUCCUUGUAGAAGGGCAAUGGCUUUAGCAGUAGGUAAAUUAUUAUUGGAAUGGACAACUUCUGUUUGGGGAAUUCCUACUAGAUUACACAGUGACCAGGGAACUGAUUUCACUGGACAAAUAAUCAAAUCUAUUUGUAAUAUUUGGUCAAUAAUGCAACAUUUUAACUAAUGGCACAAUUCAAACUCAAUUGGCAAAGCUUUCAGAAGCAUUUAAUCUCUCAUGGCCAAAAGCUCUUCCACUAGUGCUCCGCAAUUGUACACCUGUUGGUAAACAUUUGCUGUCUCCCUUUGAAAUAAUAAUAGGACAACUUAUGCAAUUAGAUGAGGGACUAUAUGAACCAACUUUGCUCAAGGGAGAUAUAUUACAUUAUUGUUAGGAUCUCACUGAGACACUUAAAAGAAAUGAAAUGUUGGUAGCUGAUUCCUUUCACAGUGAGCUCCUGAGAGAUGAAGACCUUAAGGAUCAUGGACUACAAUCUGGAGAUUUUGUUUAUUGGAAAACACACCAGAAAAAGACUCUUUAUGGCCCCAUUGGAAAGGACCAUCCUAGGAUGAGAAGAAGAUAGAAUCUGUUACAGACAUCUGUCCCAAGACUCUGGACCAGGCCUGUAUUCCCAACCUUGUAUGUCCUCAUUUAAAUCCUUGUAAUGCUUAAACUGUAUACCCAUUUUAUAAUUGCUACAAUAAUUGCUCUUGGUGAGUGAGUUCUUGGACCACAUCUGUUCUAUAAUUAUAAACAAUGUAAUUAUAAAAAGUCAUGUUAAAGCACAUGUGCGAUGUACAACAAUCUAAAAUUAAUUGAAAAAUUAUGUAACCUAUGAAAUACUUUCUCUGUUAAUAUAUGUUUCUAUGCUUGUCCACAAUAUCCAAUUGUUUUCCCCUAAUGUGGAUAACUGGGCAAAUCAAUGAAAGAAAAGCCUAGCACCAAGGGACAUGAUGGACCCAG
Molecule: long non-coding RNA, 7170 nt
Organism: Equus caballus (horse)
Lineage: Eukaryota; Metazoa; Chordata; Mammalia; Perissodactyla; Equidae
Source: RefSeq, a predicted model, not a curated record